UCUAACAACCAUUUGCUUUCCCAGACAAUCGAUACAGUUAAAGAAGCAAUAAAUGAAGUCAGAUUCCAAACUCUCAUGAGCUGAGAGAUGAUGGUACAUACUCGUACUAUAUCCAAGCUCAGAAGACCGAAACGCAUCUGAUCGGAGCUCGUCCUCGCCGGCGGUUAGCCAUGCCGGGCCCCGGUCCGCACCUGAUGUACGCCAUGGGUUCGGGUGUGGCUCUGACCACUCUCACCAACGGCAGGUUCAGCCCCCACCACACCCUGAUCUAUACCGUCAACGCCUUCUUCGGCCCCGACAUCGGAUCCUUCACCGAAUGGCUGGCCUCCCUCGUCGGCGGCUUCGGCUUCGACUUCGGCUCCGAGCUCGCUGACGCCAUCCACCACCCCUUCUACUACGUCAUCAUUCUUGGCCUCCCUCUUUGUAUUCUCUACUCCUGGCUCUCCAGAAUCUUCCUCCUCAAUAGGGUCCUCGACUCCUUCCCUCCGGUUCCCCUAACAAAGUUGCAGUGCAUCUUGUUGGUGUCAGCCGGUUCUUUGUCACAUUUUUUCCUCGAUCACUUGUUCGAGGAAAAUGGGCAUUCUGGUACGUAUACAUGGAUUUUGAGCACUGGUUGGUGGGAGGGCCGCGCACCUAUUAAUCCAGAUGCUGUUGUUGUCGUCGGCCUUUUAUGCAUUGGCUUAAUUGGUGGCUUUAUUUACAUCAACAGAGUUAAGCCUCCCAAGUCUGUUAACAAAUAUUCAUCAAAUGAAUCAUUCCAACUAAUCAUCAUCAUAGCAAGCCUGUACUGCUUAUGGUGCACAAGCCAAGUAUACUUGGUUAAUCCUCGUCGGCCAGCAGUUGGUGAAGAAGCUGACCUUGGAGUUCUCGUGUUUCUAGCCACUUAUCUCUUUUUCCCUCAUUUUUUGUGUAUAUUGUCCAUGCACCCAAGAGGUCAUGAGGGGUUACUGCUUCCAAAAUAACAGUAUAAUCAUAUUGAUAAAGAGGACAUGCCACGCUUGCUGUCGAGUAUGAUCGAAGUAGAUUUUCCAAGUCUUGCCACAGCCCUGAGUUUUGUUUUGUUGUAGCUUGUUACCAUGAUUUUUCAGGAUUUUGUGGCAACAGGAGUUUGAGGUUCUCACAUGAAGAGGCACCAACACUGCAAGGGAGUGUUUGUGCCAAAGAGUGAUUUACGAUGCAAAGAGUAUGCAAGACAGAGAUUUGGGAUUCUAGGUUUGGGGUGUAAGAAACUUGAAAGCACAAUGUCCAUUUGAAUUUUGAGAUAAUUUCUAAACCAUAACUAGAAAAUAGCAGUUCGUCUACAUAAUUACAAGUUUUAUUAACACUA
Molecule: RNA transcript, 1327 nt
Organism: Rosa chinensis
Lineage: Eukaryota; Viridiplantae; Streptophyta; Magnoliopsida; Rosales; Rosaceae
Exons: 5
Source: RefSeq, a predicted model, not a curated record